This is a non-coding RNA of Ensifer sp. LCM 4579, 79 nucleotides long. Lineage: Bacteria; Pseudomonadati; Pseudomonadota; Alphaproteobacteria; Hyphomicrobiales; Rhizobiaceae. The record is from Rfam.
CAGGCAUGCUGGAGCCCCGCAGCGGCGCCUGGGCGCGUCAAUACCGGCGCCCGACACCGUCACUCAAACCGGGGCUUAA